Molecule: long non-coding RNA, 1174 nt
Organism: Clupea harengus (Atlantic herring)
Lineage: Eukaryota; Metazoa; Chordata; Actinopteri; Clupeiformes; Clupeidae
Source: Ensembl
GGAGAAAGGGCUCUGAUGACUGACGUCAUGCUCAGAUGUCAAUUGCCCAGAGUUCCUCUUGCCACCCUAUGUGUCUGACAUUGGGAAAUAAAUGAUCAGGCUGGAUUUAGUUAGUGUUGAUGGGUCCUCAUGGCGGUAAAAGAAUAGAAUUUGCGAAAUGUAAGUAGGUGGAUGAUAGGUGUUGUGGUGUAGGCCGACAUAAUGACAGAAAGGGUGUGUGUGUGUGUGUGUGUGUGUGAGUGAGAGAAAGAGACAGCGAUGUUAGUAAUGGUUCUGCAGAAUGUUAUGACAAAGACAUUUGCAACUGGUAUUGAUUUUUUUGAAUCAACAGUGAAAAGGUUAUGCAUGGGUUGUUGAGUACCAAUUUGUGGAAGAGUUGCCAAUUACAUAGACAAACAGACACACACAUACAUAUAUAUAUACAUAUAUAUACACUAGGGCUGUCAGCGUUAACGCGUUAAUCUAUGCGAUUAAUGCGGCCGCAAUUAACGCGAUAAAAUAUUUUAACGCAAUUAACGCAACUUAAAAAAAAAAAAAUAAUAAUUAUGACAGGAAGCGAUGCGGAGAAGAGGUGGGGAGAGGAUUGGGAAAUUACAUCAGGCCAGACUUGAACCUGUGUCCCCUCGGGCAAUGUAAGUAGGCGGCUUGGCCUACCAAUAGCCCCCCUUGUUCAAAGUGGGGAAUGACAGAAAAAGUUUGACAACCACUGCGGUAAUUGAAGAUGGAGAGAGCUGAGGGAUUGUUGGGUGGAAAGUUUCUGUUUAAUAGGCAAAAUAGCUAUCACAGAAGCAGCUCGUCUUUAAGUUAUCACCUUAAUGCAAAGAACCCGACAGAAAGCAGUCCCAGGUUAGAUGGUCGCCAACCCACACUCUACGACUUCUCUAUUUGGGUUGCCGGUGACUGUCGGACCAUCAACAUAGUUAAGGACGUUGGGCUGACUGAGGUGAUUCGAAUUGCUUCAGGAGACAACUCUUACGAUUUACCGUUGAGGGGCACCAUUGUGUCUCGCAUACAUUCCUUUUAUGACGGCGAGAGAGCACGAAAAAUUCAGCUCCUCGAGCAAGCUGCCACCGUCACCCUUACUGGUGACCAUCAGUCAGCAAUGACAAUUACCUGGGUGUCACAGCUCAUUUGAUUGACAAUGUAUAGAAAUUGAGAUAUUUUUCAUUGGAAG